Molecule: ribosomal RNA, 387 nt
Filed under: uncultured bacterium
Lineage: Bacteria
Description: bacterial SSU rRNA
Rfam family: Bacterial small subunit ribosomal RNA
Source: RNAcentral
GACGAACGCUGGCGGCGUGCUUAACACAUGCAAGUCGAGCGGUAAGGCCCUUUCGGGGGUACACGAGCGGCGAACGGGUGAGUAACACGUGGGUGACCUGCCCUCAGCUCUGGGAUAAGCCUGGGAAACCGGGUCUAAUACUGGAUAUGACUCCAUGACGCAUGUUGUGGGGUGGAAAGCCUUGUGCGGCUGAGGAUGGGCCCGCGGCCUAUCAGCUUGUUGGUGGGGUGAGGGCCUACCAAGGCGACGACGGGUAGCCGGCCUGAGAGGGCGACCGGCCACACUGGGACUGAGACACGGCCCAGACUCCUACGGGAGGCAGCAGUGGGGAAUCUUGCGCAAUGGGCGAAAGCCUGACGCAGCGACGCCGCGUGAGGGAUGACGGCC